This 21-nucleotide unclassified non-coding RNA is filed under the name Mus musculus (house mouse). RNAcentral's name for it is "oocyte_clustered_small_RNA158". The record is from RNAcentral. Lineage: Eukaryota; Metazoa; Chordata; Mammalia; Rodentia; Muridae.
AGAACCCGUGGCAGCCCUCAG